AAGUAGAUGACCUGACUGAAGCUGUGGCUGCAAAGGAUUCCCAGCUGGCUGUACUGAAAGUGAGACUCCAGGAAGCUGACCAGCUACUGAGUACUCGCACAGAAGCAUUAGAAGCCUUACAGAGUGAAAAAUCACGAAUAAUACAGGAUCAAAGUGAAGGUAAUAGCCUGCAGAAUCAAGCUCUGCAGACUCUUCAGGAGAGACUGCAUGAAGCGGACGCCACUCUGAAGAGAGAGCAGGAGAGCUAUAACCAGAUGCAGGUUAGAAUGGGGGACAGCAGAUUCCUGUUGUUACUUGGACACGGAAAAAAUGACUUUAUGCUGUUUCAUAGCACGUUAACUCUUUAAUACAAUUCUGCAAUGCAUUUCAGAGAAUUCUGUUUCUGUGACAACAAUCAGAUAUUUGAAAAUUUAGCUUGAUCCUUGCUAAAUGUAUUUAAUUUUAUGUGUUGAGACAAUUAAAAUAGUUAAGGUGCAUUAGAGAUAUACAUCUUUGACUUAAUUUUUGCAACAAUCAUUGUCAUUAUUUGAUUAAAUGCUAAUGUUUGGGGGAUCGUAUUUGUUUUUUAUUAAUUUAAGCUUUUUC
RNAcentral lists this small RNA (585 nucleotides) under Pongo abelii (Sumatran orangutan). RNAcentral's name for it is "retained intron". The record is from RNAcentral. Lineage: Eukaryota; Metazoa; Chordata; Mammalia; Primates; Hominidae.